GACGAACGCUGGCGGCGUGCUUAACACAUGCAAGUCGAACGGAAAGGCCCUGCUUUUGUGGGGUGCUCGAGUGGCGAGCGGGUGAAUAACACGUGAGUAACCUGCCCUUGACUUUGGGAUAACUUCAGGAAACUGGGGCUAAUACCGGAUAGGAGCUCCUGCUGCAUGGUGGGGGUUGGAAAGUUUCGGCGGUUGGGGAUGGACUCGCGGCUUAUCAGCUUGUUGGUGGGGUAGUGGCUUACCAAGGCUUUGACGGGUAGCCGGCCUGAGAGGGUGACCGGCCACAUUGGGACUGAGAUACGGCCCAGACUCCUACGGGAGGCAGCAGUGGGGAAUAUUGCACAAUGGGCGGAAGCCUGAUGCAGCAACGCCGCGUGCGGGAUGACGGCCUUCGGGUUGUAAACCGCUUUCGCCUGUGACGAAGCGUGAGUGACGGUAAUGGGUAAAGAAGCACCGGCUAACUACGUG
RNAcentral lists this ribosomal RNA (468 nucleotides) under uncultured bacterium. RNAcentral describes it as "partial 16S ribosomal RNA". It matches the Rfam family "Bacterial small subunit ribosomal RNA", at positions 28 to 507 of the family's 1533-position model. The record is from RNAcentral.